This 468-nucleotide ribosomal RNA is filed under the name uncultured bacterium. Its description in RNAcentral is "partial 16S ribosomal RNA". It matches the Rfam family "Bacterial small subunit ribosomal RNA", at positions 28 to 507 of the family's 1533-position model. The record is from RNAcentral.
GACGAACGCUGGCGGCGUGCUUAACACAUGCAAGUCGAACGGAAAGGCCCUGCUUUUGUGGGGUGCUCGAGUGGCGAACGGGUGAGUAACACGUGAGUAACCUGCCCUUGACUUUGGGAUAACUUCAGGAAACUGGGGCUAAUACCGGAUAGGAGCUCCUGCUGCAUGGUGGGGGUUGGAAAGUUUCGGCGGUUGGGGAUGGACUCGCGGCUUAUCAGCUUGUUGGUGGGGUAGUGGCUUACCAAGGCUUUGACGGGUAGCCGGCCUGAGAGGGUGACCGGCCACAUUGGGACUGAGAUACGGCCCAGACUCCUACGGGAGGCAGCAGUGGGGAAUAGUGCACAAUGGGCGGAAGCCUGAUGCAGCAACGCCGCGUGCGGGAUGACGGCCUUCGGGUUGUAAACCGCUUUCGCCUGUGACGAAGCGUGAGUGACGGUAAUGGGUAGAGAAGCACCGGCUAACUACGUG